Molecule: long non-coding RNA, 268 nt
Organism: Nerophis ophidion (straightnose pipefish)
Lineage: Eukaryota; Metazoa; Chordata; Actinopteri; Syngnathiformes; Syngnathidae
Exons: 3
Source: RefSeq, a predicted model, not a curated record
AGAGAGAGAGAGAGAGGGAGAGAGAGAGAGAGAGAGAGAGAGGAUGCGAAUCACUGCUGAGAUGGAUAUCAGAAAGUUAUUUGCCCGCAGCAGGGAAGAAGCAGCGAGGAAUGAGAGAUGGUGAUGACCCUCCCAGAUGUCGGAGAGACAUUGGCUCUCUUUGUUGGCCCUGCGAUGAGGUGGCGACUUGUCCACCCGAAUGCAGCUGAGAGAGGCUCCAGCAGCCCCCAGCUACCCCGUAAGAGACAAGCAGUAGAGAAUGGAUGGA